RNAcentral lists this long non-coding RNA (3442 nucleotides) under Equus caballus (horse). RNAcentral's name for it is "lncRNA (ENSECAG00000048904.1)". The record is from RNAcentral. Lineage: Eukaryota; Metazoa; Chordata; Mammalia; Perissodactyla; Equidae.
CCAGCCUCUUGGGUCAUGUAGUGACUCUCAAUAGGUGAUGGGGGGUGGGGAAGACAGCUUCGGAAGCCCACCUGGCAAAAAAUCCACACUGGGGGCGAGAGAUAAACCGGCACAUUCCCCAGACUGACCCACUAGGCUUCUUUCAUAACUUACUGGCAAUGAGCUGAGGAAGCUGUGAGUCUGGGAGUUAUUGAUUUUCUCUCAUCAUCAAAAUUCCUGCUUUUGGUGAGGGAACCAAUGCCAAGUAAGCACAGAACCUGUCUUCUCUCUGGACCAGAGCAGCUCAUGCCCCUUCAGAAAAACAGGCCUGGUGCAGUGGCAGAGUGAGAGCUCAGCGGCAGUGGGCAGAGAACUUCAGUCACAGGGUCCUCAUUUCUCAAAAGGCACAACAGUCUCUUUCAAGAUUGUUGUGAAGAUGUGAGGAUUAAGUGAGAUAAAAAUAAAGCCCCUACAGCAUUCCACGCUUAGGGGAGAGCAGUUUCGCCUGACUGUGCUGUACAUUCCAUCCCCAUGAGUUUCAAUAAAACUUAUCCAAGAAGCUGCAUGUUGUCAAGAGAUGCAUCAAAGCAGUGAAGAUCCACACACUGGUAGGUCCAAUUCAUGUGUACUGUGCAAUGAAAGCAAGGCAGCAUCUUAAUUUCCCAGGGCUUCUGCUAAAUGCCACUAAUAAUUUAUUUUGAAAUGCUAGAAAAUGCCGUCAUUAGUUUUAACCAAGGAAAAUAGCAACCUGCGUCACUACAAUUGUCGAGCGAUUUGAGGAGCUACGGGUUGCGUAGGAUGACUGAGCACUCUUAUUAGGAAGAGAAGUCUCAUCCUAGGCCACCCAAUGGCUGAACGCCAUGGAGCAUCCCACCAUGGAGGAAUAAGGGUUCACACUGGACUCAUAGCAUGCACAUGCAUGCAUACAGUAGAAAAAGUUAUUACUUAGCAUUUUCAUGGAGGUUUAGAACUGGAAAUAACUAUAGAGAACUAUAUAGAAGUCCUAAAAAUCACCUAAUCCAAUGAUCCACCUAAUGCUUGAAAUGGUUAGAUGAAAUGAGAGCUGAGGAUCCUUUCAUUUUAAUAUUCUAUGGCUCUUUAAUAAAGCAUAUUAUUUUCUUACAGACAUUGUCAGUGCCCAGUCACCCACCUUGCGAUUUGCCUGAUAUUCAGUCAAUGAAUUCUAAGACUUUCCAAACAGACUAGGGGUACUUAACUUAGGUUCCACACAAUUCAGAGAUUUAAGACUCUGAAAUAUUAUGCAAAAUCAGUGUGUGCCUUUUACUGGAGAGCAGGCACACAAUUUCCAUUAGCUCCUCAAGGGGUCUAUAUAUAGACCAAAAAAAUACACUUCUAAGAACCAUGUUAUCAACAGGUACAGUGGCCAAAAUAUACCAGUGUAGGUGCCCUUUUGGGAAUCAGUAUAUGAUGCCUAUGUGGAAAAUAAAAUAAGCUCUGAGACAUUCACAAAUAACAAGCUUCACUAGCCUCGUGCAGAAAAAUUUGGAGUUCACUGCCCAGUUGUUUGCUUUAACACAGACACGCAACAGGCACCAACACCAAAAAGCAGUGCUCUCCUGGUUUUAUGCUGAGUUUUGUGUUUCGAACAUGAGUAGCAAUAGCUCACUCUUGAUGAUGGCUCUUCCAUCCAUUCAGAGCACAUUAUUUUAUCCCUAAUGAUAGAGAUAUUAAAUACCGGAAGUACAAUAAAAAGUACAACAGAUUUGGCGUCAGCUCCAAGAUCAAAUUCAAGUUCAUAAUUUAUUACCUCGAUGCCUUGGACAAGUCAUUUAACCUCUCAGCCCAGGUGGGCUUCAGCUUCCUCACCUGGAAAGUACAGGUAUUAAUGGCAACCACACAGGGUUGCUCUGAGGGCCAACGAAAUAGUGCACAGAACAUAACCUAAAACAUUGCCAAGGAUGUAGUAGACGACAAAGCUAGAAAUGAAAUGUUCUUAUCCCAUUGAAAACCACUGAGAGCAGAUGAAGAUUUACAAAGAUUAUUCAGCAACAGCUACAGGAUCUCUUAAAGUCUGAGGGGCAGAAUUUCAACAGAUACUAUAGUCUAGCGGGUGAUACAGACAUCUGUUCAUUCAAUAAGCGUUUAAGAACCACUGUGUGCCAGGGAUACAGUGAUGAAUAGGCAAACAAUCUAGUAACCAUAUAAAUAAAUGAAGAAUAAAAUUGUGACGAGCUCUCAAGGGAAAGAUUACUGACGCCCCCGAGAUUUUGAGGUAGUGAGGAGUCACAGAGUCAUGGAGGAAGGAAUGCUUGGCCUGAGAGCUGAAGGAUAAGUGAGUGGGCUCCAAUUAGGACAGGGGGAAGGGAGAAUUCCAGGUCAAUGAUUUUGGUAGUGAAGGGAAAGAGAGAUAGAAGGGAGAGAUAUAAGGCAAUAGCUAGAGAUGAGCAAUCAAAUUAGGAAUCAUUAGUAUUGGAAGUUUUGAAUGAAAUACUAAAGCAAUGGAUGGAACAUUCCACCAUGAUGCAAAAUGAUCAAGGGAGGUCUUCUGAAACCAGUUGCAUAAUCUUUUUUUUAACCUUUCACCAUACUGAAUAGAAAGAGGUCGGGGGUUAUUGGAGAUGAGGUGAAGGAUUUGAGAGAGAGUUGUUGAUGUACUUUGACUCUAUCCCCCACCUCGGCGGGGGGCAGCAGGAAGCAUGGAGGAUUCCUCCCUCCUCUCAAACGUAGGGAAAGGAGCUUCCCAAGGCAACUGGGAAAGCUUCAUCCUAGUCCCCCUAGUGUUCAGGAAAGAGAGAGGAUGGUGUCUGACCUGCUUUGUGGUCAGCCAGCUGCUCUGCUGGGGCAGCAAAUGCGUGGCUGGUGCUGCAGGGGAUUCGCCCACACUCCUAGAAGAUCCUAAGAGGCACAGCCCAGACCAGUCUAAGCCUCCAGGAUUGAACCCCUGGCUCCAGGAGGAAGAUGAAGGCACUCACUGAGCCCUUCUGAGUACAAGAGCCUUACUAGCCACUCUAGCUUCCAGGGACCGUCUCCCAAGCUUCUCAGAGAGAACCAGAAAAAUACAGCGAAGAUAGCAUUUCAUCAAUACCAUCUAAAGCCAUCUUGUGUAGUCUCUGCUGUCUGAACAUUCAUGAGGGGAAAAUUGCAGCAAAGCAGACGGUCACCACAGGCAUUGAAAUAUGACCAUGAUGAUACAGACAGAGGUAUCAGAUAUUUUAAGGUUUGGGGUGAUUUUUUGGGUAAAGUUGUUGUGGUUUUUUGUUUGUUAUUAAAAUAGCUAUCAGGAAAGGGAUCUCGUUUUUUAACACAGUUCAUUUCUCCAUAGCAGCAAAGUCAAAGGGAAUUAUAAUGGCAGGAGAUGGAAUACACUGCAAGGAAGGUCCAAACGUUACUCUCACUUUUGUAAAAAUGUCCUUUUUGGUGUUGCAUUCCACCUACGUCCCUGGGAAAAGAUGUCUACAUCUCAAGAACAGCUAAUACAUGACCUCUCUAAUAUUAUUAUGAC